RNAcentral lists this transfer RNA (84 nucleotides) under Bacilli bacterium. Its description in RNAcentral is "tRNA-Tyr". It matches the Rfam family "tRNA". Rfam says of the family: Transfer RNA (tRNA) molecules are approximately 80 nucleotides in length. Their secondary structure includes four short double-helical elements and three loops (D, anti-codon, and T loops). Further hydrogen bonds mediate the characteristic L-shaped molecular structure. tRNAs have two regions of fundamental functional importance: the anti-codon, which is responsible for specific mRNA codon recognition, and the 3' end, to which the tRNAs corresponding amino acid is attached (by aminoacyl-tRNA synthetases). tRNAs cope with the degeneracy of the genetic code in two manners: having more than one tRNA (with a specific anti-codon) for a particular amino acid; and 'wobble' base-pairing, i.e. permitting non-standard base-pairing at the 3rd anti-codon position. The record is from RNAcentral. Lineage: Bacteria; Bacillati; Bacillota; Bacilli. RNAcentral also lists the same sequence under 1 other name.
GGGAGGGUAGCGAAGUGGCUAAACGCGGUUGACUGUAAAUCAAUUCCUACGGGUUCGGCAGUUCGAAUCUGCCCCCUCCCACCA